AACAGAUAUUAUAAUUAAACGGAAUAUCAAAGGAUUUCAUAACACCUCAUUGAGGUAUUAUUACAUGUAGAAUAAAUAAUUGUUUCUCAAUAUAAAUAUGUACAUUUAUACAACAAUACAGCAAUCAAACUUUUUAAGGUGACAACCGUAAUUUUGAGUCAUAGCAUCAAGACAAUUUUUGUUCGUGGGCUGAUUAUGGCUAUAUAUAUCGCUACAUUUGAAUUUAAAAUGGGAGAAGUUAUGUAUGGUAGCAAUGGCCAUGGGUGUUUAUAUAUCUGAUCUAUUUUCAUAGUAUGAUUUUUUCUUCCAUAUCUAACCAUUGUGUAAAAUACAUUUUUUUCACUCAUUCAAAUUCAAAUUCAUCUUUAGAUCAUCAUGAUUAUGUUUUGGUACAUCAUUUGAAUUUGUAAUAUGCAUGCUUUUCAAUGGAAAUUGUAAUACUCUAAAAUCAAAUGGUAUAGGUAUGUUGCUCAUUGUUAAAGGCCGUACAGUGGCCUAUAGUUGUUAAUUUCUGUGUCAUUUUGGUCUCUUGUGGACAGUUGUCUCAUUGGCAAUCAUACCACAUCUUCUUUUUUAUAUGUAUAUUGUCAUAUUACUUUAGGUCCCCUCAUGUAAUUAUUUACAUUAAAUGCAAACUGUCCUAUAUCAAUACCAUCACCAAGACAAAUAUCUGACAUACUACUUCAUAACAUUCAUUCAUAUUAAAGAAAAAAUAUAAUGAACAUACAACCGUAUACAUUUAAACUGUUGUAAAAACAUACAUGGGACCCAGGGAGGGAUCUUAUCAAACGUUAACUCAACUACAUGUGGGUGUCAACUAUAUUUUGUACAAUGAUAUUUGAAUGUGCCUUCCCUGGGUACCAUGUAUGUUUUAAUGAGACAGCAUUAAAAUUCUAAUAAAAGUUUUGACUAGAUAGCAAAUCAACAUUAAAAUCACAUGUUUUCAUGCCUGAGGUAGCUGGACGGAAAGUUCAAUCAAGCUGAAGGAAGCUUUUGAUUUUACUUAAUUACAAUGUAUAUACAAUCAGCAAUUAACUUAAAACUACUUUUUGGCUGCCGAUUUUCACAUGGAUUUGAGACAUUCGACAACCACAUGCAAAUCACUGAUGAUCAACCUGUUCAUUGAUUAUUUUUAAGAAAUUUUGAAAAAAGCAUAGCUUACUACAUAAGUUGUACACAUCAUUAAUUUUAUAC
This 1194-nucleotide long non-coding RNA is filed under the name Mytilus galloprovincialis (Mediterranean mussel). The record is from RNAcentral. Lineage: Eukaryota; Metazoa; Mollusca; Bivalvia; Mytilida; Mytilidae.